This 441-nucleotide ribosomal RNA is filed under the name uncultured bacterium. RNAcentral describes it as "partial 16S ribosomal RNA". It matches the Rfam family "Bacterial small subunit ribosomal RNA", at positions 338 to 795 of the family's 1533-position model. The record is from RNAcentral.
CCUACGGGGGGCAGCAGUGGGGAAUAUUGGGCAAUGGAGGCAACUCUGACCCAGCAAUGCCGCGUGAGUGAUGAAGGUAAUUUUAUUGUAAAGCUCUUUUCUUUGGAACGAAUAAAUGACGGUACCAAAGGAAUAAGCCCCGGCUAACUACGUGCCAGCAGCCGCGGUAAUACGUAGGGGGCUAGCGUUAUCCGGAAUUACUGGGCGUAAAGGGUGCGUAGGUGGUUUCUUAAGUCAGAGGUGAAAGGCUACGGCUCAACCGUAGUAAGCCUUUGAAACUGGGAAACUUGAGUGCAGGAGAGGAGAGUGGAAGUCCUAGUGUAGCGGUGAAAUGCGUAGAUAUUAGGAGGAACACCAGUUGCGAAGGCGGCUCUCUGGACUGUAACUGACACUGAGGCACGAAAGCGUGGGGAGCAAACAGGAUUAGAUACCCCAGUAGUC